This 1106-nucleotide long non-coding RNA is filed under the name Marmota monax (woodchuck). The record is from RNAcentral. Lineage: Eukaryota; Metazoa; Chordata; Mammalia; Rodentia; Sciuridae.
AAACUUGGUAAAUAUACUAAAAAGUAUACACUCUUCUAACAAUUCUACCUAGAGAAACUUAUCCUAAGGAAGUAAUUACCCAAGGGUACAAAAAUAAAUGAAUCUAGUUGUCUAUUUAAGUGUUGUGUAUAGUAGCAAAAUAUCAGAAAUAUCAUAAAUAUUGAGAAUUUCUUAAAUCCAUAAAAUUGAAUAUCAUGUAGCAUUCAUACGACUUAAGACAUAAUUAUUUCUCAUCAGUAACAUUUAUUUAACAUUUAUUGUUUAUAUAAUUUUUACAGAUCUUAUAUGCCAUAGUUCUAUUUUUGUUUAAAAACAAAAAUAUAUUCAUUCUCAUUCCAGUCAGAAUGGCAAUUAUCAAGAAUACAAGGAACAAUAAGUAUUGGCGAGGAUGUAGAGAACAAGGUACCUUCAUACAUUGCUGGUGGGACUGCAAAUUGGUGCAAUCACUAUGGAAAGCAGUAUGGAGAUACCUCAGAAAACUUGGAAUGGAACCACAAUUUGACCCAGCUAUCCCACUCCUUGGUUUAUACCCAAAGGACUUAAAAUCAGCAUACUACAAUGACAACAGCCACAUCAAUGUUUACAGCUGCUCAAUUCACAGUAGCUAAACUGUGGGACCAACCUAGAUGCCUUUCAACAGAUGAAUGAAUAAAGAAAAUGUGGUACAUAUACAUAAUGAAUAUUACUCAGCUUUAAAGAAGAAUGAAAUUAUGGCAUUUGCAGGUAAAUGGAUGGAACUAAAGAAUAUCAUGCUAAGUGAAAUAAGGCAAUCCCAAAAAACCAAAGGCUGAAUGUUUUCUCAGAUAAGGAGAUGCUGAUCCAUAGUGGGGUGAGCGGUGGGUAGGGAAGAAUGAAGGAACUUUGGUUUGUGUACAGGGGAAAGAAUGGAGAGGUGGGGCUGUGGGGAUGGGAAGGACAAUAGAAUAAGACAGACAUUAUUACCCUAUAUACACGUACGAUUACACUACUGGAGUAACUCGGCACCAUGUAUAGCCAGAGGAAUGAGAAGUUGUGCUCCAUUUGUGUACAUUAUGUCAAAAUGCAUUAUAGUGUUAUAUACAACUAAUUAGAAAAUAAAAAAUAAAAAUUUAAAAAAUGUAUAUAUA